Molecule: non-coding RNA, 201 nt
Filed under: bovine gut metagenome
Source: RNAcentral
GCCGCCGGUGCCUCGUAAAAGAGGAGAAUAGGGAAUUCGGUGAGGAUCCGAAGCAGCCCCCACUACUGUAACCCGGUACGAAAUCCAAAAUGGUCAUUGAUACGAUUCUUCCGGUUCUUUUCGAAAAGAAUCGGCGGACGUAUUGAGAAGGCGUGGAGAGUAGGCAAGACGGGUAAGCCAGGAGACCUGCCGGUGAGUUUU